This 384-nucleotide ribosomal RNA is filed under the name uncultured bacterium. Its description in RNAcentral is "bacterial SSU rRNA". It matches the Rfam family "Bacterial small subunit ribosomal RNA", at positions 28 to 422 of the family's 1533-position model. The record is from RNAcentral.
GAUGAACGCUAGCGGCAGGCCUAAUACAUGCAAGUCGAACGGCUCGCAAGAGCAGUGGCAAACGGGUGCGUAACGCGUAAGCAACCUGCCCUCAACUGGGGGAUAGCCCGGCGAAAGCUGGGGGUAAACCCGCACGGUCCAGUUUUAUCACCUGGUAAGAUUGGUAAACAUUUAUGGGGUUGAGGAGGGGCUUGCGUCUGAUUAGUUAGUUGGCAGGGUAACGGCCUACCAAGACGAUGANCAGUAGGGGUUCUGAGAGGAUUGGCCCCCACAUGGGUACUGAGAUACGGACCCAACUCCUACGGGAGGCAGCAGUAGGGAAUAUUGGGCAAUGGAGGCAACUCUGACCCAGCCAUGCCGCGUGCAGGAUGAAGGCGCUCAGCG